CGGAAGAUAAUUGGGUUCCGCUGGAAUAGCUUUGUAUCAAAGGAGCAGUUACUAAGAGAGACUAGGUUGAGGAUUAUCACUUUCAUUGUGAGGGAGCGUCAGAUAUGACAUUUUGGCC
Molecule: long non-coding RNA, 118 nt
Organism: Thalassophryne amazonica
Lineage: Eukaryota; Metazoa; Chordata; Actinopteri; Batrachoidiformes; Batrachoididae
Exons: 3
Source: RefSeq, a predicted model, not a curated record